This is a long non-coding RNA of Argentina anserina (silverweed cinquefoil), 612 nucleotides long. RefSeq lists it as uncharacterized. The transcript is spliced from 3 exons. NCBI's taxonomy places the organism in Eukaryota, Viridiplantae, Streptophyta, Magnoliopsida, Rosales, Rosaceae. The record is from RefSeq and is a predicted model, not a curated record.
GGCAUACCCCAAGAAUGCCAAGUUUGUUUUGAAAGAAACAUUGGAUCUGAUAUGAAGCUCCAGAUCUCUGAAAUUCACAUGCUCCAAGUUUAAGCAUUGAAUCUUUAAACUUGUUUUACUUCAAUUCCCAAGUCUUGAAAGCCCCAAGUCUUGAAACACUAGUUUAACUAUCAUCCCAGAAUCUGCUUAAAGCUUCAAAUUUUCUGAAGCAAUGGCCGCCGUCGAAGUGCACCGUUUUGCUGAGUGCAUCACUUGCCAUGCUUGGAGCCCUGAUCGCUCAAUGCUGGCAUUUUGCCCAAAUAACAAUGAAGUUCACAUCUAUACACUGAUGCAAUCCAAAUGGGAAAAGCUGCAUGUUCUCCAGAAGUUUUAAUUUGGGGGUCUGUUUUGCAUUUUCAACCUCCACACUUGAUGAGGAAUUGAUGAUACAGUUCCCUGCAUGAAGGAUAUUAUUAGUCAAAGUCUCAUCGAAAAGCUAGCAAUAUUGUGGGUGGUGUGGAUGGAGAACAAUAGGAUUAUAGGAGGAUUAUUGAGGGAGGAAGGGAUGAAGAGGCGGGAGGAGGGGAGUGCGGCUGUGCUGGUCGGCGCCGUCGUUGUGCGUCGCCGGUAGCC